GGAACGCUGUCUGUCCCUGUCCCGAUCCCCACAGCCGCCUGACCCUGGCCGCCUCCAUUCUCCAAUCCACCGACCGAAUUCCAAACCCUUCCCAGGACCUCCCUCCUCCCGCGCCGCCCGCCGCUCGCCGGCCGCCUCCGCCCCAAUCCAAUGGGGUAUGAGGAGAGCAAAAAUCAUCUUCUGAGUCUCAGUUACCAGGAGCUCCAAUGUUUGUGCAAAAGGUAUAACCUUCCUGCUAAGAAGACCCACACUCAGUUAGCAAGCUUGCUUGCAUCGCUGCUUGAGGCAUCUCCUCCUGCUGCUUUGACUAUCCCAUUAGCAACUGUGAAAGAAACAGCCACGUGCGACCAUGUUAGCAACAAAAGAGGCCCAUACAAUGGCAGAGAUGAUGGUAGACCACCUGCGCAGGUGAAGCAUCAAAAAGGAUCUCAAACACCAGUCGAUGAAACAACUAAAGGGCAGGGGAUUGACACUGGUACAAGUAUUUCUCCAGUUUCUAUCAACCAUGGAAGGCCAGAUUGUCAUGGUCAUUCAUCUUCUGAACGGGGUACUGAUCAUAAUUUGCAAUCUCAAAGGGAUGUGGGUAUUGCAUCUAAGUCAGCAAAUCCAGGACUUGUUAGCAAACAUCAUCGUUCACCUGAUAACAUCAUCGAUCAAAUUUGUCCCCCUAUUGUCGAAAAAUAUCCUGAGGCUUCCACUCCUUUCAGCCAUACAGAAGAUACCGCAGUUAAAGGUUGUGGGCCAUCUGAUAAGAUGUCAGCAAAUGCUCCUGCUGUUCAAUUUUCUGUAAUGUCAGACGAGGGCAUUGAUCUUGUUGUUGAUCUGAACUCCACUCCAGCAAGUUGGGCCAAGACCUUCAUGGCAGAAAUGUGCAUUGCACCUCCUGAACAUGGGAAUUUCUCCAGCUUUAUUAGCAGCUUGGCAACUAAGGAUGAUCAUAGCACUGUCUCACCGUCAGGGAAUAUCAUUGUUGACAUCCAGAGCAAGGGAGCUGUGAAUAUCAUUCCUUCCACUAAUUCGUCACGUGCUUCAGAUGUUGGUGAGAACUCUCGUUCAGUUCCCUAUCCAGCUGACACAAUUACUGUGAACUCAGUGUCAUCCACAUCUACAUUAGCUGGUGCUCCAGUUGAACUUUCUGGGUAUCAGGAAGGUGCUCCAGUGGUUUCUUCUUCAUGUUUAACAGCUGAUGUUCGGAACAAUGUGACAUCUGAGCCCAGUGCUUUGGAUAAUGAGGUGCUUCCUCCAGAAUCUGCUAAUGUCUUUAUGCAGCCUGAAAGAAUCACUGUACCCUUGGAUGAUGCUUCCAUGCAACCAACUGGCAAUAAAGUCACGAUGAUACCUGGUAAAACCAAAGUUUUUGGCAAAAUUUGUUGCAAUCAAAAUGUUUCAGUUGCUGAUACCGACAAUUUAUCUACCUUUUCAUCAGGGGGUGUGGUUAGAAGUGUCUCCAAUGAAGACUCCUGUCCAAAAUCGUCGGGAAAACAAACUGCAGAUGUUCCUGCAAGGGUUCAGCUUUCUCACAAUGAUGACGUCCAUGAAACCCUAAUGGAAAAUGGACCAGUGGAGGCAGUGGCAGUGGAAGAAGAUAUAGGUUGUGGUGACAGUUUGUCCAUUUCCUGUCAACUAGCCGGUCAGACAGUAGCAAAACUGCCAGUUACAGAUGCCCAGUCACAUGCUAGCUCUGCAGAUCAUUGUGUUGCUGGAAGUUUUGACCAAGCACAUCCAACAUCAUCAUCUGCUGCCUCGGAUAAUGCUAUUAAUUCCCUGACUUCAAAGUAUGGUGCAGAGUCAGCACAAAGUCAUGGUUCUACUGACAAAAAUAGAGUGUGUGGUGCUGAGGUGCUUGAGGAGUUAGAGAGUAUGACACCGGCAGUCUAUAGUGAACCUCCCAGAAAUAUACAACUUAGCUUACGAAGUGCUUCUGCUAAAAAGAAGCCUUCUACACUACCAAGACGGUCAGCAAGGCUUAUUCCUAAGUAACCGCUCUAAAUGAUACAGAUGAGACCCAUUGUGAGAGUAGCUUCACUACCAGUUUAGUCAGAUUCCGUGAGGCUGGAGGGAUAGAAUACAGUUGUUAACAUCUAGUUGGAUGAUGUCGUGUGUAACUAAGGCUUCAUUUGGCAGCACAGGGUUAAUUAAUCCUGGGAAGAAAUGAUCCCACGGGGAUAUUAUUGGAUUUUGGAAUCCUCUCCACCGCAGGGCAGUGCUUCCCCCUCUACCCCGCUGCUCUUUGGGGUCCUGACGCGAGGGGGCAGCCUAGCAGGAGGGUUUUUGCCCUGUCCAGCUGUGUGUGCGCCUCCGGCUGCCUGUGUCUUCUUGCACGCUUCUUUUUUUUAAAAAAAAAGUGCUAAUCCAGAAUACAUGGCAUGCAGUAGUAGUCCUAAGGUACUAAGGUAACAACAUCUCUUUUCUCUUGUAGUAACAUAUUUCAGCUCAUUGUACUAAGGUAACAUCUCUUUUCUCUUGUAGUAACAUGUUUCAGCUCAUUGUGAUGCAUCUCUUUUCGCUUGUAGUAACAUGUUUCAGCUCAUUGUGACAAAAGAAAGGUGCCUGAUGUUUUCCAGAAAUUUAGACCAGCACAUAUGGUAGAACGUAUCAUAUCCUAGAAAAUAAGACAGGUUUAAUUUAUAACAGUACUUUGCACUCCCAAACUAGUGCAAACUACAAGUUAACAUGUCAGCUCUCAAAUCCAGACUCCCAAACUACAAGUUAACAUGUCAGCUUCCAAAUCCAGACUCUUGCUCACAAGUACUCUGCACAGCUCCCAAAUUAGGACUCCUGCUCACUUGGAGCUACAAGUUCGCAUACCACAUCCCAAAUUAGAACUCCUGCUCAAUCUGCAAUGGAAGCAUCAUUAGGCUUAGGAUACAAUUUUUUACUUGGUAAUAGAAAGAACCACCAGCAGCAAACUGCAGUGAAAUACAAUAUAUCUAAUAUAUCUAUUACUUCCGAAAGGCAAUAGUGACAUUGACAAUUAUUUUGAGACUAGAUACAUAUAAUACAGCACCGGAAAAUGGAGAUAAAGAUUCAACCCAAUUAGAGUUUCUCAAGUGGUGCGAAUUAAUGCAACAUUGGUGGUCAAUGAAAAGAUUGGAUAAUAUUCAUAUAUCUUCACAUCCUACUGAAAUACUGAAAUGAUAAUUGAAACAAAAAUGCUUCAAACAUAACAUACCUUAUAUCAGCAUUGGAGGUGGACACAAGGGGCUUCUUAGUUUUCAUUUGUAGCAGCACUAGAGGAAGAAAGCUGCAGUAUAAAAACAUGUAACAUCAGUGACACCAUGGACAUAAUUUUCCGUUUUAUAUAUAGAAAUAGAGGAUUCAACCGACAAACACAGAUAACACAUUGCAGAAAUUAAGAUCAAUUAUGACAACUGAGUAAGGGUACAAAAUUGAGAAAGUGAACAUACCCGAGCAAUCUUGCUCUUCAACCAAAUCAGCCGGACUCUUGGGUUUUUGGUGCUCACUAGUAUUUUUCUGUUCGUUUCACUUUAGAAAAGCUCGAUUGCAUCGCCUUUCUGUUCAUUCGAUAGCUCAUCGCCUUUCUGUUCAUUCGAUAGCUCUUCCACGGCGUCCACCAUAUCAUUGCAUUUCUCCAUCGAGUACUCUUCUUCACGUAUCUUCUUAUCUUCUAACUUUUCUAGAGUUUUUUCCAUCUGGUCUUUUCUAAAGUCAAUGAAGUCUCCAAGUUUUGCUGCAAUCUGACUUUGCUUGCAUUUCUUCCCACCAGUAACAUCUUGGUCCUCUAAAUUACGACUGGUUGGAGCAGACUGAACUUUAGUGCUUUCUACACCAUCAAGACCAGAGCUGAAUAGAUUUCUACCAAGAGAAGGCACCUGCUCUUCUCUGAGUUAUGAUUGGGUGCUCUGCUAUGUGUGCUUUGCUCUAAGGUGGUCCUUUGUGGUGUACAUUCCAUUCUUGUCUCAGUUCUUUGGGGUAUGGGUCAACUCGUAGAUCAGUUCUUUGAUGUGGAGGCUCAAUUGAUGGAGCGGCUCUUUCUUGUGCAAUGGUGAUCGGGACAUGAGUGCCAUCAAUGGCCACAAUGCAGUUUUGGAAGAAAGGCAUAAAUCGAGGGUCUGAUGCAAUCUUCACAUGUGUAUAGCUCAUAUUUGGGAGCUUCAAGAAUCUAUGAGUCAGUGCUCGAACUAUAUCGAAGAACUCUAUUAUUUUCCUAUGAAUUGUCUCACCACUAUGUUGGAAUUCCUUUUUUA
Setaria italica (foxtail millet) is the source of this 4208-nucleotide RNA transcript. RefSeq lists it as uncharacterized. NCBI's taxonomy places the organism in Eukaryota, Viridiplantae, Streptophyta, Magnoliopsida, Poales, Poaceae. The transcript has 10 exons. The record is from RefSeq and is a predicted model, not a curated record.